GUCCCCUGAACCUUAUCAUUUARAGGAAGGAGAAGUAGUAACAAGGUUUCCGUAGGUGAACAUGCKGAAGGAUCAUUGUYGAU
Molecule: ribosomal RNA, 83 nt
Filed under: Intsia bijuga
Lineage: Eukaryota; Viridiplantae; Streptophyta; Magnoliopsida; Fabales; Fabaceae
Description: partial 18S ribosomal RNA
Rfam family: Eukaryotic small subunit ribosomal RNA
Source: RNAcentral